Molecule: transfer RNA, 402 nt
Filed under: Bacteroides fragilis str. S23 R14
Lineage: Bacteria; Pseudomonadati; Bacteroidota; Bacteroidia; Bacteroidales; Bacteroidaceae
Description: partial 16S ribosomal RNA
Rfam family: tRNA (bases 125-198)
Source: RNAcentral
AAAUUGUACUACUGGUACUUGUUUAUUUAUAGAAUAUAGAUCGACCGUCUAUAGUAAUAUAGAUAGAGAUAAACAAGAGAAAUGAAAGAAGCCGAGUCUAAUAAACAGACAAGGGUUUGAACUCAGUCCUAUAGCUCAGUUGGUUAGAGCGCUACACUGAUAAUGUAGAGGUCGGCAGUUCAACUCUGCCUGGGACUACCAACAGAUAGAUAUUUUAUCUUGUAUGAUUGGGGGAUUAGCUCAGCUGGCUAGAGCAUCUGCCUUGCACGCAGAGGGUCAACGGUUCGAAUCCGUUAUUCUCCACUCCGAUACCGCAACCUAAGAGGCUUGCGUGUAAUCAAACGAUCUUUGACAUGAUGUACAGAAAAAAGUAAAUUUAGUAAGAGCUAAAAGUAUAUAUCG